UGGGGAAUAUUGCACAAUGGGGGAAACCCUGAUGCAGCCAUGCCGCGUGUGUGAAGAAGGCCUUCGGGUUGUAAGCACUUUCAGCGAGGAGGAAAGGUUUGUUGGCUAAUACCCAGCACUGUGACGUUACUCGCAGAAAGAAGCACCGGCUUACUCCGUGC
RNAcentral lists this ribosomal RNA (161 nucleotides) under uncultured bacterium. RNAcentral describes it as "partial 16S ribosomal RNA". It matches the Rfam family "Bacterial small subunit ribosomal RNA", at positions 355 to 508 of the family's 1533-position model. The record is from RNAcentral.